AGUGAACGCUGGCGGUAGGCCUAACACAUGCAAGUCGAACGGCAGCACAGGAGAGCUUGCUCUCUGGGUGGCGAGUGGCGGACGGGUGAGGAAUACAUCGGAAUCUACUCUGUCGUGGGGGAUAACGUCGGGAAACUUACGCUAAUAACGCAUACGACCUACGGGUGAAAGCAGGGGAUCUUCGGACCUUGCGCGAAUGAAUGAGCCGAUGUCGGAUUAGCUAGUUGGCGGGGUAAAGGCCCACCAAGGCGACGAUCCGUAGCUGGUCUGAGAGGAUGAUCAGCCACACUGGAACUGAGACACGGUCCAGACUCCUACGGGAGGCAGCAGUGGGGAAUAUUGGACAAUGGGCGCAAGCCUGAUCCAGCCAUACCGCGUGGGUGAAGAAGGCCUUCGGGUUGUAAAGCCCUUUUGUUGGGAAAGAAAUCCAGCUGGCUAAUACCCGGUUGGGAUGACGGUACCCAAAGAAUAAGCACCGGCUAACUUCGUGCCAGCCGCCGCCGUAA
This 506-nucleotide ribosomal RNA is filed under the name uncultured bacterium. RNAcentral's name for it is "partial 16S ribosomal RNA". It matches the Rfam family "Bacterial small subunit ribosomal RNA", at positions 29 to 523 of the family's 1533-position model. The record is from RNAcentral.